UUAAGUAAGGAAGGGCGUACGGCGAAUGCCUUGCCACUCGAAACUGAAGAAGGACGCGCCAAACUGCGAAAAGCUCCGUGAAGCUGUAAGGAAGCGAAGAAGCGGAGGUGUCCGAAUGGGGGAACCCGGCAGCAGACAUGAGCUGUCAUCUGCAGGUGAAUACAUGGCCUGCAAGAGAGGUACCCGGCGAACUGAAACAUCUAAGUAGCCGGAGGAAAAGAAAACAACAGUGAUUCCCUGAGUAGCGGCGAGCGAAAGGGGAGAAGCCCAAACCGGUUGAAGGACCGGGGUUGAAGGACCAUGACAUGGCAAGAACGAGGAUAGGAGAACGGGAUCGAAAGCCCGGCCGAAGAAGGUGAAAGCCCUGUAACCGAAAUCCGAGUAAAGCCUAAUGGGAUCCUGAGUACGGCGAGACACGAGGAAUCUUGUCGGAAGCAGGCGGGACCAUCCGCCAAGGCUAAAUAUAAACGAGUGAGCGAUAGUGAACCAGUACCGUGAGGGAAAGGUGAAAAGAACCGCGGGAGCGGAGUGAAAGAGAACCUGAAACCGUAUGCCUACAAGAAGUCAGAGCCCGUUAAGGGGUGAUGGCGUGCCUUUUGUAGAAUGAACCGGCGAGUUGCGACAGACUGCGAGGUUAAGGAGGAAAGACCGGAGCCGAAGCGAAAGCGAGUCUUAAGAGGGCGAAAGUAGGAUGUUGCAGACCCGAAACCGGGUGAUCUAGCCAUGAGCAGGUUGAAGUUGAGGUGAAACUCAAUGGAGGACCGAACCGACUACCGUUGAAAAGUUAGCGGAUGACUUGUGGCUAGGGGAGAAAUUCCAAUCGAACCCGGAGAUAGCUGGUUCUCCCCGAAAUAGCUUUAGGGCUAGCGUCGGAAAGAACCUUAGUGAAGGUAGAGCACUGAAUGUGUGAUGGCCCCAUCCCGGGGUACUGAAUACAAUCAAACUGCGAAUGUCAUUAAGGAUGUCCGGCAGUCAGACUGUGAGUGAUAAGGUCCAUGGUCAAGAGGGAAACAGCCCAGACCGCCAGUUAAGGUCCCAAAAUACAGGCUAAGUGGAAAAGGAUGUGGGGAUGCCCAGACAACUAGGAGGUUGGCUCAGAAGCAGCCAUCCUUUAAAGAGUGCGUAACAGCUCACUAGUCGAGUGACCCUGCGCCGAAAAUGUACCGGGGCUAAGCCUGAUACCGAAACUGCGGAUUGUAGGAAACUAUAGUGGUAGGGGAGCGUUGUAUACGAGCAGAAGCCGUACCGUGAGGAGCGGUGGAUUGUAUAGAAGUGAGAAUGCCGGUGUGAGUAGCGAGAUGUAGGUGAGAAUCCUACACACCGAAAGCCCAAGGAUUCCAGGGGAAGGUUCGUCCGCCCUGGGUAAGUCGGGACCUAACGCGAGGCCGAAAGGCGUAGUGGAUGGAAAGCAGGCGAAAGAUUCCUGCACCCGUAUAUGGAGCGAAGGAGUGACGGAGACGGAUAGUGUGACCCUCUUAAUGGAUUGAGGGCGAAGCGAAGCGGCUGGUUACCAGGCAAAUCCGGUAACCAAAAGGCUAGAGCGUGACAGGUAAGCGAAAUCUUCGGAAAGUAGCGAAGCACAUGAUGACGGCUUCCAGGAAAAGCUUCUGGCAAUGCAUAUGCGGCCCGUACCAAAACCGACACAGGUGGGCAGGGAGAGAAUCCCGAGGUGAGCGAGAGAACUGUUGCCAAGGAACUCGGCAAAAUGACUCCGUAAGUUAGCGAGAAGGAGUGCUUAAGCAAUUAAGCCGCAGUGAAGAGGCCCAAGCGACUGUUUAACUAAAACACAGCUCUCUGCGAAGUCGCAAGACGAAGUAUAGGGGGUGACACCUGCCCGGUGCUGGAAGGUUAAGAGGAUCUGUUAAGAGCGAUCUGAAGCAGUGAUCCGAAGCCCCAGUGAACGGCGGCCGUAACUAUAACGGUCCUAAGGUAGCGAAAUUCCUUGUCAGGUAAGUUCUGACCCGCACGAAAGGUGUAACGAUUUGGGCGCUGUCUCGGCAGCAGACUCGGUGAAAUCUUAGUACCUGUGAAAAUGCAGGUUACCCGCAACUAGACGGAAAGACCCCAUGGAGCUUUACUGCAGCCUGAUAUUGAAUUCUGGUCAUACAUGUACAGGAUAGGUGGGAGACAAAGAGACGUGCACGCCAGUGUACGAGGAGUCGACGUUGGGAUACCACUCUUGUGUGACCGGGGUUCUAACCUGGUAUCGAGAACAGGUACGGGGAGAGUGUCAGGUGGGCAGUUUGACUGGGGCGGUCGCCUCCCAAAGAGUAACGGAGGCGCCCAAAGGUACGCUCAGAUUGGAUGGAAACCAAUCGACGAGUGCAAUUGCAGAAGCGUGCUUGACUGUGAGACAGACAAGUCGAACAGGGACGAAAGUCGGGAAUAGUGAUCCGGCGGUGCCGAAUGGAAGGGCCGUCGCUCAACGGAUAAAAGCUACCCU
This 2443-nucleotide ribosomal RNA is filed under the name human gut metagenome. Its description in RNAcentral is "bacterial LSU rRNA". It matches the Rfam family "Bacterial large subunit ribosomal RNA", at positions 3 to 2469 of the family's 2925-position model. The record is from RNAcentral.